UACGUAGGGGGCAAGCGUUGUCCGGAUUUAUUGGGCGUAAAGAGCGUGUAGGCGGCCUGACAGGUCUGCUGUGAAAACUCGAGGCUCAACCUCGAGAUGUCGGCGGAAACCGUCUGGCUAGAGUCCGGAAGAGGAGAGUGGAAUUCCUGGUGUAGCGGUGAAAUGCGCAGAUAUCAGGAAGAACACCUAUGGCGAAGGCAGCUCUCUGGGCAUUAACUGACGCUGAGGAGCGAAAGCAUGGGGAGCGAACAGG
RNAcentral lists this ribosomal RNA (253 nucleotides) under uncultured bacterium. RNAcentral describes it as "partial 16S ribosomal RNA". It matches the Rfam family "Bacterial small subunit ribosomal RNA", at positions 524 to 776 of the family's 1533-position model. The record is from RNAcentral.